This 499-nucleotide ribosomal RNA is filed under the name Streptomyces nanshensis. RNAcentral's name for it is "bacterial LSU rRNA". It matches the Rfam family "Bacterial large subunit ribosomal RNA", at positions 23 to 473 of the family's 2925-position model. The record is from RNAcentral. Lineage: Bacteria; Bacillati; Actinomycetota; Actinomycetes; Kitasatosporales; Streptomycetaceae.
GGUGGAUGCCUUGGCACCAGGAACCGAUGAAGGACGUGGGAGGCCGCGAUAGGCCCCGGGGAGUUGUCAACCGAGCUGUGAUCCGGGGGUGUCCGAAUGGGGAAACCCGGCAGUCGUCAUGGGCUGUCACCCGCAUCUGAAUGUAUAGGGUGUGUGGAGGGAACGCGGGGAAGUGAAACAUCUCAGUACCCGCAGGAAGAGAAAACAACUGUGAUUCCGGGAGUAGUGGCGAGCGAAACUGGAUGAGGCUAAACCGUAUGUGUGUGAGACCCGGCAGGGGUUGCAUGUACGGGGUUGUGGGAGUUCUCUUGUCCGGUCUGCCGGCCGGUCGGCGAGUCAGAAAUUGUUGAUGUAGGCGAAGGGUAUGCGAAAGGCCCGGCGUAGAGGGUAAGACCCCCGUAGCUGAAAUGUCAGCAACUUGUUUGAGGAUCACCCGAGUAGCAUGGGGCCCGAGAAAUCCUGUGUGAAUCUGGCGGGACCACCCGUCAAGCCUAAAUAU